GACGAACGCUGGCGGCGUGCUUAACACAUGCAAGUCGAACGGAAAGAGAUGAAAGAGCUUGCUCUUUUAUUAAUUUCAGUGGCAAACGGGUGAGUAACACGUAAACAACCUGCCUUAAGGAUGGGGAUAACAGACGGAAACGACUGCUAAUACCGAAUACGUUCUAAGCAUCGCAUGAUGCAUAGAAGAAAGGGUGGCCUCUACAAGAAAGCUAUCGCCUUAAGAGGGGUUUGCGACUGAUUAGGUAGUUGGUGAGGUAACGGCUCACCAAGCCGACGAUCAGUAGCCGGUCUGAGAGGAUGAACGGCCACACUGGAACUGAGACACGGUCCAGACUCCUACGGGAGGCAGCAGUGGGGAAUCUUCCGCAAUGGACGAAAGUCUGACGGAGCAACGCCGCGUGAACGAAGAAGGUCUUCGGAUUGUAAAGUUCUGUGAUUCGGGACGAAAGGGUUUGUGGUGAAUAAUCAUAGACAUUGACGGUACCGAAAAAGCAAGCCACGGCUAACUACGUGCCAGCAGCCGCGGUAAUACGUAGGUGGCAAGCGUUGUCCGGAAUUAUUGGGCGUAAAGCGCGCGCAGGCGGUUUCUUAAGUCCAUCUUAAAAGCGUGGGGCUCAACCCCAUGAGGGGAUGGAAACUGGGGAAGCUGGAGUAUCGGAGAGGAAAAGUGGAAUUCCUAGUGUAGCGGUGAAAUGCGUAGAGAUUAGGAAGAACACCGGGUGGCGAAGGCGAUUUUCUAACUAAACUGACGCUGAGGGGCGAAAGCGUGGGGAGCAAAAAGAAUAUAUACCCGGUAGUCGCAGGGGGAUUUCUACGAUGGAUAUAAGCAUAUCC
RNAcentral lists this ribosomal RNA (836 nucleotides) under uncultured Dialister sp. RNAcentral describes it as "bacterial SSU rRNA". It matches the Rfam family "Bacterial small subunit ribosomal RNA", at positions 28 to 841 of the family's 1533-position model. The record is from RNAcentral. Lineage: Bacteria; Bacillati; Bacillota; Negativicutes; Veillonellales; Veillonellaceae.